CAGAGGUGGCAAGCGUUGUUCGGAAUUACUGGGCGUAAAGGGCGCGUAGGCGGCCAUCUAAGUCAGACGUGAAAUCCCCGGCUUAACCUGGGAACUGCGUCUGAUACUGGACGGCUCGAGUUUGGGAGAGGGAUGUGGAAUUCCAGGUGUAGCGGUGAAAUGCGUAGAUAUCUGGAGGGACACCGGUGGCGAAGGCGGCAUCCUGGACCAACACUGACGCUGAGGCGCGAAAGCUAGGGGAGCAAACGGGAUUAGAUACCCCGGUAGUCCUAGCCCUAAACGAUGAAUGCUUGGUGUGGCGGGUAUCGAUCCCUGCCGUGCCGAAGCUAACGCAUUAAGCAUUCCGCCUGGGGAUACGGUCGCAAGGCUG
Molecule: ribosomal RNA, 370 nt
Filed under: uncultured organism
Description: bacterial SSU rRNA
Rfam family: Bacterial small subunit ribosomal RNA
Source: RNAcentral